CUACGGGUUGCUCCAGUCGAGAAUCUUCCGCAAUGGGCGCAAGCCUGACGGAGCAAUGCCGCGUGAGUGAUGAAGGCCUUCGGGUUGUAAAACUCUGUCAGAGGGGACGAAAUUUGACGGUACCCUCAGAGGAAGCCACGGCUAACUACGUGCCAGCAGCCGCGGUAAUACGUAGGUGGCGAGCGUUAUUCGGAUUUACUGGGCGUAAAGGGUUCGUAGGGGGUUUGCCAAGUCUGAUGUGAAAUUCCGCGGCUCAACCGCGGACGUGCAUUGGAUACUGUCGAACUAGAGUUCCUGAUGGGAAAGCGGAAUUCCAGGUGUAGCGGUGGAAUGCGUAGAUAUCUGGAAGAACACCGGUGGCGAAGGCGGCUUUCUGGCAGGAUACUGACCCUCAUGGACGAAAGCGUGGGUAGCGAACAGGAUUAGAUACCCCCGUAGUC
Molecule: ribosomal RNA, 440 nt
Filed under: uncultured bacterium
Lineage: Bacteria
Description: partial 16S ribosomal RNA
Rfam family: Bacterial small subunit ribosomal RNA
Source: RNAcentral